UCACCUCAAUCACUUAGUUUUAUUACUAUUGGGAUUGGAUUUGGGAGCUUGCUGGCUUCAUUAGAAGUCGGCUCUCCUUAAAUACAUUAGUGGGCAUCUGACUCGCAUUGCCGAUGUGAUAGUCUAUUCAUCAUUGGUAGUGCCUGUCUAAUGGGUCUGCUUUCGAACCGUCUUCUCAACGGAGACAAUACAUUGACACA
RNAcentral lists this unclassified non-coding RNA (200 nucleotides) under uncultured Hymenochaete. RNAcentral's name for it is "sequence contains ITS2". The record is from RNAcentral. Lineage: Eukaryota; Fungi; Basidiomycota; Agaricomycetes; Hymenochaetales; Hymenochaetaceae.